Molecule: ribosomal RNA, 253 nt
Filed under: uncultured bacterium
Lineage: Bacteria
Description: partial 16S ribosomal RNA
Rfam family: Bacterial small subunit ribosomal RNA
Source: RNAcentral
UACGAAGGGGGCUAGCGUUGUUCGGAAUUACUGGGCGUAAAGCGCGCGCAGGCGGUUUCUCAAGUCAGUGGUGAAAGCCCGGAGCUCAACUCCGGAACUGCCAUUGAAACUGUGAAACUUGAGGACGAGAGAGGUGAGUGGAAUUCCCAGUGUAGAGGUGAAAUUCGUAGAUAUUGGGAGGAACACCAGUGGCGAAGGCGGCUCACUGGACCGGUACUGACGCUGAUGCGCGAAAGCGUGGGGAGCAAACGGG